GAGUUUGAUCGUGGCUCAGAUUGAACGCUGGCGGCAUGCCUUACACAUGCAAGUCGAACGGUAACAGGUCUUCGGAUGCUGACGAGUGGCGAACGGGUGAGUAAUACAUCGGAACGUGCCCGAUCGUGGGGGAUAACGGAGCGAAAGCUUUGCUAAUACCGCAUACGAUCUACGGAUGAAAGCAGGGACCGCAAGGCCUUGCGCGGACGGAGCGGCCGAUGGCAGAUUAGGUAGUUGGUGGGAUAAAAGCUUACCAAGCCGACGAUCUGUAGCUGGUCUGAGAGGACGACCAGCCACACUGGGACUGAGACACGGCCCAGACUCCUACGGGAGGCAGCAGUGGGGAAUUUUGGAC
RNAcentral lists this ribosomal RNA (355 nucleotides) under uncultured microorganism. RNAcentral describes it as "bacterial SSU rRNA". It matches the Rfam family "Bacterial small subunit ribosomal RNA", at positions 9 to 369 of the family's 1533-position model. The record is from RNAcentral.